CUACGGGUCGCACCAGUGGGGAAUCUUAGACAAUGGGGGAAACCCUGAUCUAGCCAUGCCGCGUGAGCGACGACGGCCCUAGGGUUGUAAAGCUCUUUCAGCAGGGAAGAUAAUGACGGUACCUGCAGAAGAAGUCCCGGCUAACUCCGUGCCAGCAGCCGCGGUAAUAUGGAGGGGACUAGCGUUGUUCGGAAUUACUGGGCGUAAAGCGCGCGUAGGCGGAUUGUUAAGUCGGGGGUGAAAUCCCGGGGCUCAACCCCGGAACUGCCCUCGAUACUGGCAGUCUUGAGUGCGAGAGAGGUGAGUGGAAUUCCGAGUGUAGAGGUGAAAUUCGUAGAUAUUCGGAGGAACACCAGUGGCGAAGGCGGCUCACUGGCUCGAUACCGACGCUGAGGUGCGAAAGCGUGGGGAGCAAACAGGAUUAGAUACCCCGGUAGUC
Molecule: ribosomal RNA, 439 nt
Filed under: uncultured bacterium
Lineage: Bacteria
Description: partial 16S ribosomal RNA
Rfam family: Bacterial small subunit ribosomal RNA
Source: RNAcentral